AGCCCUAUCUACUAAUGGUCAGGUAAUUGCCCUCUCAAGGCAAAAAUACGGGUUCGAAUCCCGUUGGGGUUA
RNAcentral lists this transfer RNA (72 nucleotides) under Caudoviricetes sp. RNAcentral's name for it is "tRNA-Glu". It matches the Rfam family "tRNA". Rfam says of the family: Transfer RNA (tRNA) molecules are approximately 80 nucleotides in length. Their secondary structure includes four short double-helical elements and three loops (D, anti-codon, and T loops). Lineage: Duplodnaviria; Heunggongvirae; Uroviricota; Caudoviricetes. RNAcentral also lists the same sequence under 1 other name. The record is from RNAcentral.